RNAcentral lists this ribosomal RNA (200 nucleotides) under uncultured eukaryote. RNAcentral's name for it is "partial 18S ribosomal RNA". It matches the Rfam family "Eukaryotic small subunit ribosomal RNA", at positions 588 to 801 of the family's 1831-position model. The record is from RNAcentral.
GCUCCAAUAGCGUAUAUUUAAGUUGUUGCAGUUAAAAAGCUCGUAGUUGGAUUGGUUAAGAGGCGCGGUCGGCCGUUUGGUCUGUACUGCGUUGUCUUGACUUCCUGAUGAGGACAUGCUCUUGGUUAACGCUGAGACAUGGAGUCAUCGUGGUUACUUUGAAAAAAUUAGAGUGUUCAAAGCGGGCUUACGCUUGAAUA